Molecule: long non-coding RNA, 891 nt
Organism: Rosa rugosa (rugosa rose)
Lineage: Eukaryota; Viridiplantae; Streptophyta; Magnoliopsida; Rosales; Rosaceae
Exons: 2
Source: RefSeq, a predicted model, not a curated record
CUCUAAUAAAAAACAAUCUUUUCAUAUAAAAAAAAAGGAGAGUGUAUUCAGUGCACCUACAGUGUUUGGGCACUGACAGCACGUGGUCACGUGCCUAACGUUUUAAAAGCUUCCGUUAGUUUAGAUUUGGUCAGUCAAGAUCAUCACAAAAAAAGGUGAAAGGCAGUAAGAUGAAAAUUUUACCAUCCCCACACGCGGUGGUCGUGGGAGUAACUUCUAAGCCUCCAAGGUUGCCGCCGACUCCGGUUUUCUCAAAUCUGAGACGAGAGAAGAAGAUUUUGAGUUGCAGCAUGUAUUUGAAUCGUCGGCACCGUUAAUCGAUCGUUCAUAGUCCGGCGGCCCAAGUUCGUUCUGAUAUGAUCCCAAAUCUUGAGUAACACUUGGAAGUCGAAAAUCAUCGAAACCUUCAAUUCUGUUUGUAAUUAGAAUUCUAAUCACACGAUUAAGCAAGUGGAUUUGGUGCCAGUUCAUUGCAGCAGUUUGUAGGUGGGUUGGUGCUUAACUUUUGAGUUGAAUUCCUGCUUAGGAUUAGCCUUGCUGUUUGAUAUGGUUUAGAGGCUAUGCCUCAUUCCCUACUUUCAGGUGUUUCCUUCAGUAUGGCUUUUGCUUCUGAGUUAUCUCAUGGUGCUAAUUAAUGGGGUCAUUGCCCGUGGCCAGAGGGGAAGAAGUCUGCCCAAUCUCCUCAGCAGUAUUGUAUGAUAGACUUACGGACAUACUAGGGUGAAUACGCCGGAAGUUGCUGCGUGGAUAUCACAUGAUUCAACCUAGGCAUGAGGCUCAACAACAGUAUCGAGUCCUUUAAUUUGUUACUGUACUAAGCCAGAUGCUGUUUUAAAGUUUGUGACAUGUAUUUGAUUAGUUUAAUCUCACUCUCAGUGUGCAUUGUUUUCC